CCCUUAGAUGUCCUGGGCCGCACGCGCGCUACACUGAUGCAUUCAACGAGUAUUUCCUUGGCCGAGAGGCCUGGGCAAUCUUUUAAACCUGCAUCGUGAUAGGGAUAGAUUAUUGCAAUUAUUAAUCUUGAACGAGGAAUUCCUAGUAAACGCAAAUCAUCAAUUUGCAUUGAUUACGUCCCUGUCCUUUGUACACACCGCCCGUCGCACCUACCGAUUGAAUGGUCCGGUGAAAUCUCGGGAUUGUGGCCAGUUCACUUUAUUGGGAGUUGGCUGCGAGAACUUGCUUAAACCUUAUCAUUUAGAGGAAGGUGAAGUCGUAACA
This 325-nucleotide ribosomal RNA is filed under the name uncultured eukaryote. RNAcentral describes it as "partial 18S ribosomal RNA". It matches the Rfam family "Eukaryotic small subunit ribosomal RNA", at positions 1470 to 1796 of the family's 1831-position model. The record is from RNAcentral.